AUUGCCUCAGUAACGGCGAGUGAAGCGGCAACAGCUCAAAUUUGAAAUCUGGCUCCCCUUGGGGGUCCGAGUUGUAAUUUGGAGAGGAUGUUUCUGGCGCGGCGCCUACCGGAGUUCCUUGGAACAGGACGCCACAGAGGGUGAGAGCCCCGUACGGUUGGCCGCCUAGCCUGCACGAAACUCCUUCGACGAGUCGAGUAGUUUGGGAAUGCUGCUCAAAAUGGGAGGUAAAUUUCUUCUAAAGCUAAAUACCGGCCAGAGACCGAUAGCGCACAAGUAGAGUGAUCGAAAGAUGAAAAGCACCUUGAAAAGAGGGUUAAACAGUACGUGAAAUUGUUGAAAGGGAAGCGCCUGCGACCAGACUCGCGCCCCGCGGACCAGCCGGCGUUCUCGCCGGUGCACUCCGCGGGGUGCGGGCCAGCAUCGGUUCUCCCUGGGGGAGAAAGGCUGCGGGAAUGUAGCUCCUUCGGGAGUGUUAUAGCCCGUGGCGCCAUGCCCCAGGGGGGACCGAGGACCGCGCUUCGGCAAGGAUGCUGGCGUAAUGGUCGUCGGCGACCCGUCU
Molecule: ribosomal RNA, 562 nt
Filed under: Ceratocystiopsis manitobensis
Lineage: Eukaryota; Fungi; Ascomycota; Sordariomycetes; Ophiostomatales; Ophiostomataceae
Description: eukaryotic LSU rRNA
Rfam family: Eukaryotic large subunit ribosomal RNA
Source: RNAcentral